AGUUGAGACGUUGCUUGCAUGUUGACUGUUGCUGAUCUCAAGAUCUUUGUUUUUCCGUCGACGUGGAAGACAAAAUUGGACUGCUAAGACGGACCCUCUACUGGUAGACUUUGUAACAUUAGUUUGGGGACCCAGCGCAGAUGUCAUAGUGGCAUGAGUCACGACUAAAAGAGAAUCAGUGAACUGGAUCCGUCACAUACUUCAAAGAAGAGAUUUGACGUCCUGUGAGAAGACAUUGCUUAUUAACAGGCCUUGUUCCCCAAAUGGGAGCUUGAUGAAUUUUCUUUCCUUGCCUUGAGCUUGUGAACUAAAUGACCUCUACCUCCUGAAAUAAUCUUGAGAGGCAAAGGAUGUACCACUGAGAAGCCUUCUACCGUAUCCACCACCAACUAAUGCCCUCCAGGCUUUAUGCUGUUAUCACUGCACACACUUAACUG
Long non-coding RNA from Anguilla anguilla (European eel), 437 nucleotides. RefSeq lists it as uncharacterized. Lineage: Eukaryota; Metazoa; Chordata; Actinopteri; Anguilliformes; Anguillidae. The transcript has 3 exons. The record is from RefSeq and is a predicted model, not a curated record.